GAAAUGCGAUAAGUAGUGUGAAUUGCAGAAUUCAGUGAAUCAUCGAAUCUUUGAACGCACAUUGCGCCCCUCGGUAUUCCGUGGGGCAUGCCUGUUCGAGCGUCAUCUACACCCUCAAGCUCUGCUUGGUGUUGGGCGUCUGUCCCGCCUCCGCGCGCGGACUCGCCCCAAAUGCAUUGGCAGCGGUUCCUUGCCCCCCUCUUUGCGCAGCACAUUGCCAUUCGAGGCGGCGGCGGCCCGUGUCCAACAAGCUCAACCCCCCCGUCUUUGACCUCGGAUCAGGUAGGGAUACCCGCUGAACUUAAGC
Molecule: unclassified non-coding RNA, 307 nt
Filed under: plant metagenome
Description: partial contains 5.8S ribosomal RNA, internal transcribed spacer 2, and large subunit ribosomal RNA
Rfam family: 5.8S ribosomal RNA (bases 1-105)
Source: RNAcentral